UAAGGUGGGCUAUGUCUGAGAAAUGAUGUC
Molecule: non-coding RNA, 30 nt
Filed under: Mus musculus (house mouse)
Lineage: Eukaryota; Metazoa; Chordata; Mammalia; Rodentia; Muridae
Source: RNAcentral